GGAAUCUUCCACAAUGGGCGCAAGCCUGAUGGAGCAACACCGCGUGAGGGAAGAAGGUCUUCGGAUUGUAAACCUCUUUCAGCAAGGAAGAAGAAAGUGACGGUACUUGCAGAAGAAGCCACGGCUAACUACGUGCCAGCAGCCGCGGUAAUACGUAGGUGGCGAGCGUUAUCCGGAAUUACUGGGUGUAAAGGGUGUGUAGGCGGGGCGCCAAGUCAGAUGUGAAAAUUACGGGCUCAACCCGUAACCUGCGUCUGAAACUGGUGCUCUUGAGAGUGGGAGAGGUAAACGGAAUUCCUGGUGUAGCGGUGAAAUGCGUAGAUAUCAGGAGGAACACCGGUGGCGAAGGCGGUUUACUGGACCACAACUGACGCUGAGACACGAAAGCGUGGGUAGCGAACA
Molecule: ribosomal RNA, 402 nt
Filed under: uncultured bacterium
Lineage: Bacteria
Description: bacterial SSU rRNA
Rfam family: Bacterial small subunit ribosomal RNA
Source: RNAcentral